This 323-nucleotide unclassified non-coding RNA is filed under the name soil metagenome. Its description in RNAcentral is "partial contains 5.8S ribosomal RNA, internal transcribed spacer 2, and large subunit ribosomal RNA". The stretch from base 1 to 120 matches the Rfam family "5.8S ribosomal RNA", at positions 35 to 154 of the family's 154-position model. The record is from RNAcentral.
GAUGAAGAACGUAGCGAAAUGCGAUAAGUAAUGCGAAUUGCAGAAUUCAGUGAGUCAUCGAAUCUUUGAACGCACAUUGCGCCCUGUGGUAUUCCGCAGGGCAUACCUGUUCGAGCGUCAUUUCAACCCUCAAGCUCUGCUUGGUGUUGGGCCCUGCCCGCUGCGGCCGGCCCUAAAGACAGUGGCGGUGCCGCCUGGCCCUGAGCGUAGUACAUCUCUCGCUCCAGUGCCCGGUGGUAGCCUGCCAGAACCCCAACUCUCGUGGUUGACCUCGGAUCAGGUAGGGAUACCCGCUGAACUUAAGCAUAUCAAUAAGCGGAGGA